Molecule: unclassified non-coding RNA, 1716 nt
Filed under: Hevea brasiliensis (rubber tree)
Lineage: Eukaryota; Viridiplantae; Streptophyta; Magnoliopsida; Malpighiales; Euphorbiaceae
Source: RNAcentral
GAAAAAUGCCUUGUGAUUUAUUUUUGAAAUAGUAAAAGAAGCAGCAUCAUGCCCAUGACCUUAGCUUGCACAAAACUAUCACAAAGUACAGAAAAAUAUAAAACCUUAUAAACCUGAUGACCGCUCCAAUUAACAAAACAAAAGCUAUAGUGUACCUUACAACUCUAGUAACUAUAGAUUAGACACAGUAGACCAAGAGAAAUAUAACAAUCAAUAUUCCAUUAUGGACUCAGUAGUCGUCCUUCACAUGCAUAAGUUACAUUGCAUGUCUCAUCAAGAUAGAGAGUAUACAAAUGCAUCGGCCUUGAGAGGAAAGGCGGCAAGCGAACCAGCAUGUCACAGACACACUCAUCAUCUAAUUCAUUCAGCCACCUGCAACAGUUCUCUUGUGCAGGUGAUUCACGUCGAGUUGCAUGUCUAUGCCAAUGCCUGUGUCCAUGCCUGUGUUCUUGACCAUGACCGUGUCCAUGACCCUGGCCAUUAUUAUGAUUGCGUCCAUGUCCGAGUCCUUGCUUAUGCCCAUGUCCAGGCCCUUGGACAUGACUGUGACUGUGACUCUGAUUAUGACUGUGACUGUGAACGUGCCCAUGCCUAUCCUCUUCAUCAUCAGGGGAGGGAGAAGCUGGCGGCAGGGGUGGCAAUGGGGUGUAUGGCAGCAUUGCACAAGCAUAGUUCACUAGCGCAAACUGGGAGACACAAAGUGGGCGUGGAAAUGGCUGGGCCUCUAUCUUCGGCAGAAAUACUAAGGCAGCUGCAAAAAGCAUUAAUGUAAGAGCCUUGACUAUUUCCAUUUGCACUUAUUGCAAAUACGCAUGAGAACGUUUAGUAAAGGAAUGUGGUUCAAGGAAUCUCAUACAGGUCCUUCAUUCCUUUUAUACUUGCCUACUCAUGAAUUUCUUGUUUCUUCCGGCUAGGCUUGUUUGCAGGGUAAUAAAGAAAGAAAGAAAGGAAUAACCAAGAGAGUGAGUUUGCUUUGUUAGUUGAUGUUAUGGAAAAGUACAGGGUCUGAAUUGUUAGGGUGACUCAUUCAUUGUGUGUGACAAGAAGUUAGGUGACAUACCGUUGCUAAUGAAAAAUAAAGUUUCCCAGAAAAUUCACCACUUACAAGGAAUAUAAUAAAAUUGGUUACAUCAACAAGAUUUUGAAAUUUUUCAUGUAACAGAAUGAUGACACAAGUUCUUACAAUGAACAUUUUCAUGUCUUUCAUUACCUGUUAACAGUAAUAAAACAGUGACCUAUGCUUUCAAUGUGAAAGCCAUAUCUUUCUCCCCUCAGUAGAAAGCUGUGAUGCAAUUAAUAAAUUAAAAAUUAAUAAUCGAAUAAGAAAUUCCACCUUCUUUAUGCUCACUAGCUAAUGCUUAAUCCGCCCGAUUCCAUACGUGUGCUGUUGACAUAUUUUUUUGACCAAGGAGCUUCAACCAAAAUCCAAAACAAAUAGAAAAGGGCAUGUGCACAUCAGCAUUCAGCCAAGCAAAAUAUUUAGCUGUAAUAAUUAGAUAGAUGAACAUUGUAGUUUCUACCGCAAAUUCAGAACUGCAUCUAACAGCUUCAAUAAAUCCUAGAAAAGCAUACAUGGAAAAGAAGCACCGAGUUAAUGGAUAUAUAACAAUGUUACUCCAAGAAUGUUCACAUAGGCAUAACCUAUUAAGGCUGUUUUAAGUCUCAGUAUUUUAGGGCUAAUUAUUAGAGAUUACUAAAAAAUAGUGCUCCAUCUCU